GAUCUUCGCAAUUUAACAUCGCAAAGGCCUUUAGAUUACACUGACAAAGUUUGGUGUUGAUCUGAAUAAAUCUCUAGGAGGAGUUCGUUAAAGUACAACCCUUGAAAAUGGCAAAAACGACACAAAUUUUGCAGAGUAAAUUCAAAAUAACUGACUUCCUGUUGGGAUUCGAAUUUCGUACCAAGAGACUUUUUUGUAGGUAUUGGUGUGUUACAUGUGUGUACCGAUUUUUGUACAUGUACGUGAAACGUAGCUCGAGGCACACUCCAUUGAAAGUGUAUAGGUGGCGCUAUCGAGGCAUUUUGCCACACCCGAUGGAAUAUUGGCCUUCAGAUGUGUUCAGGCCAGGACUCUUAUCAAACAUGUGAAGUUUGGGCAAGAUCGGACAUUUUAUGCCUGAGUUACAAUAACUUUUAUUCCCAUGGCGAGACAUCGAACUUUGUGACGUUUGGGCAAGAUCGGACAUUUUAUGCCUGAGUUACAAUAACUUUUAUUCCCAUGGCGAGACAUCGAACUUUGUGACGGCGCCAUGGACACGCCCUUUAACGAAAACUCAAGAUCUUCACAAUUUAACAUCGCACAGGCCUUUAGAAUAGAGUGACUGAAAAAAAAAAAUUAUGUCAUAAAAUUUCUCGGGGUAGUUUGUUACAGUGUAAAAUAUGUCACUUCCUGUUGCCAGUAGGUGGCGCUAUGACUAUAACUGAAUAUGGGCAUAUCAAUCUGUUCAGGUCAGGAGUCUUAUCAAACAUGUGAAGUUUGUGGCAGAUUGGACAUUGUAUGUCUGAGUUAUAGCAACUUCAUUUUUCAUGGCGAAUCAUCGAAAUUCGUCAGGCCGCCACGGACAUGCCCUUCAACGAAAACUCAAGAUCUUCGCAAUUUAACAUCGCAAAGGCCUUUAGAUUAGGCAUACCAAAUUUGGUGUUGAUCUGAAUAAAUCUCUAGGAGGAGUUCGUUAAAAUACAAGGCAUGCAAAUGACAAAAAU
Molecule: long non-coding RNA, 983 nt
Organism: Cyprinus carpio carpio
Lineage: Eukaryota; Metazoa; Chordata; Actinopteri; Cypriniformes; Cyprinidae
Source: Ensembl